Molecule: ribosomal RNA, 406 nt
Filed under: uncultured bacterium
Lineage: Bacteria
Description: partial 16S ribosomal RNA
Rfam family: Bacterial small subunit ribosomal RNA
Source: RNAcentral
AUUGAACGCUGGCGGCGGGCUUAACACAUGCAAGUCGAGCGAGCGGCGGACGGGUGAGUAAUGUCUGGGAAACUGCCUGAUGGAGGGGGAUAACUACUGGAAACGGUAGCUAAUACCGCAUACAAUCAGAUGUGCCCAGAGUGGAUUAGCUAGUAGGUGGGGUAAUGGCGCACCUAGGCGACGAUCCCUAGCUGGUCUGAGAGGAUGACGUGCCACACCGGCACGGGGACACGUUCCAGACUCCUACGGGAGGCAGAAGUGGGGAAUAUUGCACAAUGGGCGCAAGCCGGAUGCAGCCAUGCCGCGUGUGUGAAGAAGGCCUUCGGGUUGUAAAGCACUUUCAGCCAGGAGGCGUUACUCGAAGAAGAAGCACCGGCUAACUACGUGCCAGCAGCCGCGGUAAUAC